RNAcentral lists this RNase P RNA (454 nucleotides) under Chloroflexi bacterium RBG_16_56_8. Its description in RNAcentral is "RNase P RNA component class A". It matches the Rfam family "Bacterial RNase P class A". From Rfam's summary of the family: Ribonuclease P (RNase P) is a ubiquitous endoribonuclease, found in archaea, bacteria and eukarya as well as chloroplasts and mitochondria. Lineage: Bacteria; Bacillati; Chloroflexota. The record is from RNAcentral.
GCAAGCAAGCAAUCCGUCGCUCAUCUUUCGAGAUGAGAGGAACUUCCCGACUCCCCGCUCUUGGCGAAAGCCACGGGCGCGGUUGCCUCACGAAACAGCAAGUGAGGGCACCACCUCUCCCGCGAGGGUGAGGUGGUGACGACAACUGCAACAGAAAACAAACCAGCCCCCAUCUUCCCCUCCCCUGUUUAACGGGGGAGGGUUGGGUGGGGGUGAUGGCUGAAACGGUGGGGUAAGGGCCUACCAGCGUCGCAGGCGACUGCGGCGGCUAGGUGAAUGUCCAACUGGGAGCAAGGCGGGUGGGAUUGGCUCGCGUCAGCGGGUUGAUUCCCGUCGCAGCGACGAUGCCGACGUAGAGCAACACUCUGCAAAGUAAUCGCCGCCGGUGGAUCGAAAGAUUCGCCGAGACAGAUGACGGACUGGACAGAAUCGGGGGUAUGACUUGCUUGCCACA